Malania oleifera is the source of this 153-nucleotide small nuclear RNA. RefSeq annotates it as U1 spliceosomal RNA. NCBI's taxonomy places the organism in Eukaryota, Viridiplantae, Streptophyta, Magnoliopsida, Santalales, Ximeniaceae. The record is from RefSeq and is a predicted model, not a curated record. The transcript has a single exon.
AGAAGAUGGGGUGUAUAAGUGAUCAUUAAGGCCCUUGGCCUAGGCAUGCGGCUUCCAUUGCACUUAGGAGGUGCACUUGCCUAACAACUCCCUAAGUGGGAGAGUGUACGUCAUAAUUUGUGGUAGUGGGGGUCAACGUUCGCCCGGCCCCUU